This 233-nucleotide ribosomal RNA is filed under the name uncultured bacterium. RNAcentral describes it as "partial 16S ribosomal RNA". It matches the Rfam family "Bacterial small subunit ribosomal RNA", at positions 15 to 236 of the family's 1533-position model. The record is from RNAcentral.
GAUCCUGGCUCAGGACGAACGCUAGCUACAGGCUUAACACAUGCAAGUCGAGGGGCGAGCAUGGUCUUAGCUUGCUUCCCGAUAGGCGUCGACCGGCGCACGGGUGAGUAACGCGUAUCCAACCUGCCCACCACUUGGGGAUAACCUUGCGAAAGUAAGACUAAUACCCAAUGAUAUCUCUAGAAGACAUCUGAAAGAGAUUAAAGAUUUANCGGUGAUGGAUGGGGAUGCGU